GAUGAACGCUGGCGGCGUGCUUAACACAUGCAAGUCGAACGGAAAGGCCCAAGCUUGCUUGGGUGCUCGAGUGGCGAACGGGUGAGUAACACGUGGGUGAUCUGCCCUGCACUUUGGGAUAAGCCUGGGAAACUGGGUCUAAUACCGGAUAGGACCAUCGUUUAGUGUCGGUGGUGGAAAGUUUUUCGGUGUGGGAUGAGCUCGCGGCCUAUCAGCUUGUUGGUGGGGUAAUGGCCUACCAAGGCGUCGACGGGUAGCCGGCCUGAGAGGGUGUACGGCCACAUUGGGACUGAGAUACGGCCCAGACUCCUACGGGAGGCAGCAGUGGGGAAUAUUGCACAAUGGGCGCAAGCCUGAUGCAGCGACACCGCGUGGGGGAUGACGGCCCUCGGGUUGUAAACUCCUUUCGCCAAGGACGAAGCGUUUUGUGACGGUACUUGGAGAAGAAGCACCGGCUAACUACGUG
RNAcentral lists this ribosomal RNA (466 nucleotides) under uncultured bacterium. RNAcentral's name for it is "partial 16S ribosomal RNA". It matches the Rfam family "Bacterial small subunit ribosomal RNA", at positions 28 to 507 of the family's 1533-position model. The record is from RNAcentral.